AGCGGAAGGAAGCUCACUGUAGAGGUCACAUGCUGAGUGCCUAGUCACUCUACCAAUCACCUCGGGGAAGGUCUGAGAAAAGAGCCAAUGGCUGCCCUAGCAGGGCAUCACCUGACAUGGGUGAGCGAGCGCACAGAAAACACGGGUUACGACGAGUUCCUUAGCAGGAGAAGCCGUACGGUACAAUGAAGGUACUGUUCGGUGGAUGCGGUCUCGCUAACUUGGAAACACUCGCGGCUGGCGAAUGAGUGCGAUGUGUGAGCUGGGGACACGCCUCCAGAACCCAAUUCAGACUACUCUCCUUCCACU
Scleropages formosus (Asian bonytongue) is the source of this 309-nucleotide ribozyme. It matches the Rfam family "Nuclear RNase P". From Rfam's summary of the family: Ribonuclease P (RNase P) is a ubiquitous endoribonuclease, found in archaea, bacteria and eukarya as well as chloroplasts and mitochondria. Its best characterised activity is the generation of mature 5'-ends of tRNAs by cleaving the 5'-leader elements of precursor-tRNAs. NCBI's taxonomy places the organism in Eukaryota, Metazoa, Chordata, Actinopteri, Osteoglossiformes, Osteoglossidae. The record is from Ensembl.